GGGGGGGGGGGGGGGGGGGGGGGGGGGGGGGGGGGCGGGGGGGGGCACGGGGAGGGGGGGGUGUGGGGGGGGGCGGGUGGCGGACGGUGGGGGAGUACGUGGGACUCUGCUGUGUAGUGAGGGAGAGCAGGGGGCAACUUGGGGUAGUACGGCAUACGGGCUACGGGUGGAAGCGGGGGAGCUUCGUAAUUUGCGCGAUGGCUUGAGACGAUGUCGGAUGAGCUAGUUGGCGGGGUAAAGGCCCACCAAGGCGACGAUCCGUAGCUGGUCUGAGAGGUGGAUCAGCCACACUGGAACUGAGACACGGUCCAGACUCCUACGGGAGGCAGCAGUGGGGAAUAUUGGACAAUGGGCGCAAGCCUGAUCCAGCCAUACCGCGUGGGUGAAGAAGGCCUUCGGGUUGUAAAGCCCUUUUGUUGGGAAAGAAAAGCAGCAGGUUAAUACCCCGCUGUUCUGACGGUACCCAAAGAAUAAGCACCGGCUAACUUCGUG
Molecule: ribosomal RNA, 492 nt
Filed under: uncultured bacterium
Lineage: Bacteria
Description: partial 16S ribosomal RNA
Rfam family: Bacterial small subunit ribosomal RNA (bases 63-492)
Source: RNAcentral